Molecule: ribosomal RNA, 490 nt
Filed under: uncultured bacterium
Lineage: Bacteria
Description: partial 16S ribosomal RNA
Rfam family: Bacterial small subunit ribosomal RNA
Source: RNAcentral
AUUGAACGCUGGCGGCAGGCCUAACACAUGCAAGUCGAACGGUAACAGGAAGAAGCUUGCUUCUUUGCUGACGAGUGGCGGACGGGUGAGUAAUGUCUGGGAAACUGCCUGAUGGAGGGGGAUAACUACUGGAAACGGUAGCUAAUACCGCAUAACGUCGCAAGACCAAAGAGGGGGACCUUCGGGCCUCUUGCCAUCGGAUGUGCCCAGAUGGGAUUAGCUAGUAGGUGGGGUAACGGCUCACCUAGGCGACGAUCCCUAGCUGGUCUGAGAGGAUGACCAGCCACACUGGAACUGAGACACGGUCCAGACUCCUAAGGGAGGAAGCAGUGGGGAAUAUUGCACAAUGGGCGCAAGCCUGAUGCAGCCAUGCCGCGUGUAUGAAGAAGGCCUUCGGGUUGUAAAGUACUUUCAGCGGGGAGGAAGGGAGUAAAGUUAAUACCUGUACUCAUUGACGUUACCCGCAGAAGAAGCACCGGCUAACUCCGUG